CAGUAGCCGCGGGAAUACGUAGGUGGCAAGCGUUGUCCGGAAUUAUUGGGCGUAAAGGGCUCGCAGGCGGUUUCUUAAGUCUGAUGUGAAAGCCCCCGGCUCAACCGGGGAGGGUCAUUGGAAACUGGGAAACUUGAGUGCAGAAGAGGAGAGUGGAAUUCCACGUGUAGUGGUGAAAUGCGUAGAGAUGUGGAGGAACACCAGUGGCGAAGGCGACUCUCUGGUCUGUAACUGACGCUGAGGAGCGAAAGCGUGGGGAGCGAACAGGAUUAGAGACCCCAGUAGUCCCUGUCUCUUAUAC
This 301-nucleotide ribosomal RNA is filed under the name uncultured bacterium. RNAcentral's name for it is "partial 16S ribosomal RNA". It matches the Rfam family "Bacterial small subunit ribosomal RNA", at positions 509 to 807 of the family's 1533-position model. The record is from RNAcentral.